AGUUUCUUGGGAGUCAAUUUCUGCUCUUUCUGAAGCAGUUUCUGGGAUCUGGGAGAGUAGCUGCUUCCUCUCUUCUCUGCUUUCCUCUGACAGGGUUAGCAGAACGUUUAUUCUCCAGAUGCAGUUAAAGGCUUCAAGGACCCCAACGGGCAACUCCUGGGCACUUUCAGCAUCCUGCCAGGGGAGUCGUGCUCAUCAUGAUGGAAGGGGCUUCUCUUCUGUGCUGUGGCCCACUUCAUCAAGUGAAAAAGAGGCACCAAAACAGGACCAUGAAAGAUUUGGGGGACAAGUGGUGUUUCCUUUGACCAACCUGGUGUAAGGUCAAGAUGCGUAAAGAUAAAGCAGGAUCCGGCAAGGAAAGAGCGGACUUUGAAAGAAGAAGGACCAGGCUGGCCAUAUACUACUUCCCAGCCCUGAGGAAAAUCCCAUUAUCCACUUCAAAAUGAAAUUUGGCACCAUUGAAUAGCACUAGUUCAGAAAUAAGAAUGGUCUAUAUAUUAACUUUGGUAUUUCAGGAGACAAUGAUGACAGGCUGGCAUUUCAGGAGGACCUUGCCCCUUCUGCAGCCAACCACAGAACUGUCCGGUACCCCACCUUCUGCAGCCAGAACCAGAACAUUCCCACUCAGCUCCUUCUGCAGCCAGCCCCGGGACCAUCCCGCACCCCACUUCUGCAGCCAGCCCUGGGACAGUCCCACACCCCCUUUCUGCAGCCAGCCCUGGGACAGUCCUACACCCCUUUUCUGGAGCCAGCCCCGGGUCGGUCCCACACCCCCUUCUGCAUCUGGCCCCGGGACGGACCCACACCCCCUUCUUCAGCCAGCCCCGGGACAGUCCCGCACCCCCCUUCUGCAGCCGGCCCUGGGACAGUCCCGCACCCCCCUUCUGCAGCUGGCCCCGGGACAGUCCCGCACCCCCCUUCUGCAGCCGGCCCCGGGACAGCCCCGCACCCCCCUUCUGCAGCCGGAACCGGGGCUGUCCCGUACCCCACUUCUGCAGCCGGAACCGGGGCUGUCCCGCACCCCACUUCUGCAGCCGGAACCGGGGCUGUCCCGCACCCCCCCCUUCUGCAGCCGGAACCGGGGCUGUCCCGCACCCCCCUUCUGCAGCCGGAACCGGGGCUGUUCUGCACCCCCCUUCUGCAGCCGGCCCCAGGAUAGUGCCGCACCCCCUCAUGCAGCUGGCCGCAGGACAAUGCCGCACCCCCACUUCUGCACACACACCCCGGCUCUGGGCCAGCCCUGCCUCCUUCCUGCAACUGGCCACAGUUUAGUCCUGCCCCCCGCCCUUGAUUUCCCUCAGGGUAGGGAUUAAAUGGCUUGCCGAGAAACGAGAACUCCUGUAGUAACUACAGCCAGUGAAUGCAAGGGAAAUGCAGAAUAUCAGGAGGAUGGGGCAGCUCUAGAUGGAGCAUCCCAGGAGUGGAAAAUGCUGUCGAGAUUCUGUUGAAAAUGCUGUUUUACCCAAGGACUUGCAUCACGCCUGAAGCAAGGUUAAAGUCAAUAUCAGUUACUGGUUUUGUAUUUUUGUUUUUGAAUUGCUCAGCUCCUUUCCCCAUUUGGGUGCAAAUUCAUGGUGAACCCGAUUUGGGGAUGGAUCCUAAGAAGUCUUGGAUGUGGGUGUGUCUAGGGAACAAGGGGGCUAUGCAGAAGGGAUUGGCUGCAUCCCAGCUCUAAUUCUGUGGAGGGCUGGAGAAGACAAGAGCUGGACCAAGCCUGGAUGGAUGGGGAGCUUGAGAGGGGAGAGUGCCAGUGGAGGUGGGGCAGACCUACUGGACUCCAUGGGACACUGGUGUGCUGCCCUCCACUGCUUCCAUUUAUAUAUAAGGUGGGGGGUCUUAAGUUGAUGGUAAGCCUUUCAUUUCAUAUAUAUUUAAAAUGUUUCUAUCUUGUAUAUUCAAACUGUGCUUUGUUAGGACACUCUGGGGUGGUGUGCAGCCCAUCGGACCCCUUGCAGGGUGUGGCGCAUUCUUGUAAUUCAUUUCAGUAGAUCCCAGUUAUUAAUUCCAAAGUGGGACUUCCUCCAGUUUCUAGGAAGAUAAAGCACCCCAUUCAGUGCCAGUGCAAGCACCUUUCCACUGCUGGGUGCUUUCCAGAUUACAGUUACAACCACCGUAAAAUGCUUCAGCUUGGGAUCAAAUUGACAACGUAAUGAAAGGGUGUUGCUCAAGUCCACCAGCAGGGCAGCAGUCUUUUCUAGUUUGCCCCAAACUCCCUAAAAUGGAAAAAUACUGCAAUCUUUUUACAAUGUUGCAGGACUGUAAUAAAGCAAUAAAAUCUGAAAGAAGGCAUUGGAAAUGUGAAUGACAUCUUGCUGAUAGCACAGAGACUGUGAUGUCAAUGCACAGGCAAUACAGAAGCACACUUCGCAGAUUCGUAGCGGCACAGUGAUAAGGGUUAAUCUGGAAAGCACCCAGGCUGACCUGCGCAACUAACUCCUGGCAGCUGAACAAGCUUGAGCCUGAGUGUUUUCUUAUAGGAAGCACAUGGCUAAAUCUCUAAACAGAAAUACUACUGGCCGGGCAAAAGAA
This is a long non-coding RNA of Hemicordylus capensis (graceful crag lizard), 2529 nucleotides long. RefSeq lists it as uncharacterized. The transcript is spliced from 3 exons. The record is from RefSeq and is a predicted model, not a curated record. Lineage: Eukaryota; Metazoa; Chordata; Lepidosauria; Squamata; Cordylidae.